RNAcentral lists this ribosomal RNA (1025 nucleotides) under uncultured Basidiomycota. Its description in RNAcentral is "eukaryotic LSU rRNA". The stretch from base 348 to 1025 matches the Rfam family "Eukaryotic large subunit ribosomal RNA", at positions 1 to 664 of the family's 3401-position model. The record is from RNAcentral. Lineage: Eukaryota; Fungi; Basidiomycota.
AUCGAUGAAGAACGCAGCGAAAUGCGAUAAGUAAUGUGAAUUGCAGAAUUCAGUGAAUCAUCGAAUCUUUGAACGCACCUUGCGCCCUUUGGUAUUCCGAAGGGCAUGCCUGUUUGAGUGUCAUUAAAUUCUCAACCUUGCAAGCUUUUUUGCUAGUGAGGCUUGGAUGUGAGGGCUUUUGCUGGCUUCCAUUCAGUUGGAUGGUCUGCUCCCUUUAAAUUCAUUAGUGGAUUCCUUUGUGGAUGGUCACUUGGUGUGAUAAUUAUCUACGCCGCCUGACUCUGAAACAAGACUUGUGGGGACCCGCUCAUAACUGUCUCUUCAAGAGACAAUCUAUAUUGACAAUUUGACCUCAAAUCAGGUAGGACUACCCGCUGAACUUAAGCAUAUCAAUAAGCGGAGGAAAAGAAACUAACAAGGAUUCCCCUAGUAACUGCGAGUGAAGCGGGAAAAGCUCAAAUUUAAAAUCUGGCGGUUUCACCGUCCGAGUCGUAAUUUAGAGAAGUGUUAUCCGCGCUGGACCGUGUACAAGUCUCCUGGAAUGGAGCGUCAUAGAGGGUGAGAAUCCCGUCUUUGACACGGACUACCAGGGCAUUGUGAUACGCUCUCAAAGAGUCGAGUUGUUUGGGAUUGCAGCUCAAAAUGGGUGGUAAAUUCCAUCUAAAGCUAAAUAUUGGGGAGAGACCGAUAGCGAACAAGUACCGUGAGGGAAAGAUGAAAAGAACUUUGGAAAGAGAGUUAAACAGUACGUGAAAUUGCUGAAAGGGAAACGCUUGAAGUCAGUCGCGUCGUUCAGGAUUCAGCUUUAGCUUCUGCUUUGUGCAUUUCCUGUUUGACGGGUCAGCAUCAGUUUUGGCCGGUGGAUAAAGGUUCAGAGAAUGUGGCAUCCUCGGAUGUGUUAUAGCUCUGGGUCGCAUACAUCGGCUGGGACUGAGGAACUCAGCACGCCGAAAGGCCAGGUUUCGACCAUGUUCGUGCUUAGGAUGCUGGCAUAAUGGCUUUAAUCGACCCGUCUUGAAACACGG